RNAcentral lists this ribosomal RNA (253 nucleotides) under uncultured Alphaproteobacteria bacterium. Its description in RNAcentral is "partial 16S ribosomal RNA". It matches the Rfam family "Bacterial small subunit ribosomal RNA", at positions 88 to 358 of the family's 1533-position model. Lineage: Bacteria; Pseudomonadati; Pseudomonadota; Alphaproteobacteria. The record is from RNAcentral.
AAGGGGAGGGACNGACGGGUGAGUAACUCGUGGGAACCAAGAAAAUGGUACGGAACAACCCAGGGAAACUUGGGCUAAUACCGUAUACGCCCCUAGGGGGAAAGAUUUAUCGCCAUUGGACGGGCCCGCGUUGGAUUAGCUAGUUGGUGGGGUAACGGCCUACCAAGGCAACGAUCCAUAGCUGGUCUGAGAGGAUGAUCAGCCACACUGGGACUGAGACACGGCCCAGACUCCUACGGGAGGCAGCAGUGGG